This 267-nucleotide ribosomal RNA is filed under the name uncultured bacterium. RNAcentral's name for it is "partial 16S ribosomal RNA". It matches the Rfam family "Bacterial small subunit ribosomal RNA", at positions 87 to 354 of the family's 1533-position model. The record is from RNAcentral.
CCCGGCGACCGGCGCACGGGUGAGUAACACGUAUGCAACCUGCCCUCUUCAGGGGGACAACCUUCCGAAAGGGAGGCUAAUCCCGCGUAUAUCGGUUUCGGGCAUCCGAGAUCGAGGAAAGAUUCAUCGGAAGAGGAUAGGGCAUGCGGCGCAUUAGCUAGACGGCGGGGUAACGGCCCACCGUGGCGACGAUGCGUAGGGGUUCUGAGAGGAAGGUCCCCCACACUGGUACUGAGACACGGACCAGACUCCUACGGGAGGCAGCAG